Molecule: long non-coding RNA, 1016 nt
Filed under: Cucumis sativus (cucumber)
Lineage: Eukaryota; Viridiplantae; Streptophyta; Magnoliopsida; Cucurbitales; Cucurbitaceae
Description: long non-coding RNA (CSAT_LNC000934)
Source: RNAcentral
GAAAUUGUCCUUGAAAGCGCGCAUGAAGUCUGCGUAACACUGGACAGGCGUUCGGCCUUUAAGAACAGGAAGGGUGUCGCAUCCCAAUGAUAUGUAUUCAUAAUUCCUUCUCCCCCAUUGAUCGGUAUACGCAAGGUCUGGAUCUUUGUCCAUCUCUUCCACAGCCCAUUUAGGUAAAGGAAUACUGCACACAGAUAAGAAAGAUCACCACAUCAAUUACAAACCUCGAUCAGAAUUAGCACUGCAGAAAUUCAACAAAAGUUUGACCAAAUUUCCAGCUUAAGGGAAAUUCAUUUCUAGUUUGAUCAUACACAAUCCAAUGAGCUAAAUAUAUUUUCUACUCCCUAAAAUAUCGAGUGUUCUAACAUUCUCCACUUACAUCAUUUCCUUCCUAAUUGAGAUCUGCUGAGAUUAUGAAGUUACAUUUGAAAUUUAUAGAAGAAUUAAGCCCCUCCAAAUUGGCAUAAACUCAUCUUUUCCUCUAUUGAGUGCUCUAAUUCCUAAUCUCAACUAACGACUCAAUUAACUUCAACAGUCAUGAACUAAAGUGAAAGUACAUAGUAAAAGAACUUGAUUAAAUUUAGACAUGAAUAUUGAAUAAUAACAAUACCCAUGGAAGUUCAAUCUUCAGGUUCAAGGUUGAUUGAUUAACUUAACCAGAUUGACAAGCAAUUCCUCUCCAAAAAUACUUGAACGAAUCUUGAAAAGGAAACAAAUAAGAGAAAAAGGAAAAGGCGCUUACGUGACAGAGUCACCAACGUUUCCGCCACAUUGAUGGAAGGACAUGACGGCUUGGACUUUGAGGCCGUGCUUUUUAGCCAUUUCUAGAAGCUCUGUAUAGCCUCCCCAGUUGUACGAACCAGGCGAAUCUCUCUCCACCAAUCCCCACCACACAUCCAUCAUAAUCCCCUCAACUCCGGCGCUCUUCAACGCUUGUAAACUCGCGUUCAUCGCCUUCCUCCUAUUCACCGUAUUCUCCAUCGUCACACUGUCCAACGGCAUCAUCACAUACACUG